Molecule: ribosomal RNA, 253 nt
Filed under: uncultured bacterium
Lineage: Bacteria
Description: partial 16S ribosomal RNA
Rfam family: Bacterial small subunit ribosomal RNA
Source: RNAcentral
UACGUAGGGUGCGAGCGUUAAUCGGAAUUACUGGGCGUAAAGUGUGCGCAGGCGGCAGAGCAAGUCGAGUGUGAAAGCCCCGGGCUUAACUUGGGAAUUGCGCUCGAAACUACUUUGCUGGAGUGUGGCAGAGGAAGGUGGAAUUCCACGUGUAGCGGUGAAAUGCGUAGAGAUGUGGAGGAACACCUGUGGCGAAAGCGGCGCACUGGACCACAACUGACGCUGAGGCGCGAAAGCUAGGGGAGCAAACGGG